UCUAAAGAAAUCAAAGAAACGUGUUUAAUACUUGUAUGUGAUUCAUGAAUAUUUAUUGUUGGAGAAAAAGAAAAAGUGUAAAAUUACGCACCGAAUUUCUAUAACUGAAUACGCAGUGAAACUCCUAAUUAAACACCCUGUUUAUAAAUAUUGAAAAUGAAUGCAUUCAAAAAUCAUCGCAUGAAAUCGAUUUAACUGACCCUCAAGGUCUGUGAAAGAAACACUUGUACUAAAGCAACAAAACCAACGACGACGCUAUCGUAGCAUGAAGCUGUACAAAUAAACGAAUUACAUUUUCAAUA
Long non-coding RNA from Bactrocera oleae (olive fruit fly), 302 nucleotides. RefSeq lists it as uncharacterized. The record is from RefSeq and is a predicted model, not a curated record. NCBI's taxonomy places the organism in Eukaryota, Metazoa, Arthropoda, Insecta, Diptera, Tephritidae.